UAAUUAAGGUGCCAUUGCUAUGAUAGUGUGAGCCGGAGUAAGCUUGGUGCUACCUCUUUUCUUUUGUUUGUUAUUUUCUUUGAAUAAGAGGAUUGAGAGUUUUUGAAUAUUGUGAAGUGAAUUAUGGAAUAGAAAUGUGAUUCGUAUUAUUUGAGAAGAAGAAAGAUUGAAUGCUGAAAUCUAAUUGUAGUUCAACACAGAGAAUGAGUCUGUGUUUGUAUAAAACACUGUAAUGUGAAUGGCAAUUCUGUGUAAAGAAUUCCAGUGAUUGGAAUGAGGGUAAUUGUGUACUCAAAGCUGUGAGGGCGCAGUAUUACAGUUGGAGAUUAUGAAGGUAAAUAUAUUGGUGGAAAUAGCAGUUAUUGGUAUGAUUGAAUUGUUGUAAA
RNAcentral lists this long non-coding RNA (386 nucleotides) under Physcomitrium patens. RNAcentral describes it as "long non-coding RNA (PPAT_LNC009623)". The record is from RNAcentral. Lineage: Eukaryota; Viridiplantae; Streptophyta; Bryopsida; Funariales; Funariaceae.